RNAcentral lists this ribosomal RNA (437 nucleotides) under uncultured Sporobacter sp. Its description in RNAcentral is "partial 16S ribosomal RNA". It matches the Rfam family "Bacterial small subunit ribosomal RNA", at positions 341 to 792 of the family's 1533-position model. The record is from RNAcentral. Lineage: Bacteria; Bacillati; Bacillota; Clostridia; Eubacteriales; Oscillospiraceae.
ACGGGAGGCAGCAGUGGGGAAUAUUGGGCAAUGGGCGCAAGCCUGACCCAGCAACGCCGCGUGAAGGAAGAAGGCCUUCGGGUUGUAAACUUCUUUUAUGAGGGACGAAGGAAGUGACGGUACCUCAUGAAUAAGCCGCGGCUAACUACGUGCCAGCAGCCGCGGUAAUACGUAGGUGGCAAGCGGUGUCCGGAUUUACUGGGUGUAAAGGGCGCGUAGGCGGGUGUGCAAGUCAGAUGUGAAAUCCCCGGGCUUAACCCGGGAACUGCAUUUGAAACUGCAUAUCUUGAGUAUCGGAGAGGCAAGCGGAAUUCCUAGUGUAGCGGUGAAAUGCGUAGAUAUUAGGAGGAACACCAGUGGCGAAGGCGGCUUGCUGGACGACAACUGACGCUGAGGCGCGAAAGCGUGGGGAGCAAACAGGAUUAGAUACCCUGGUA